RNAcentral lists this ribosomal RNA (253 nucleotides) under uncultured microorganism. RNAcentral's name for it is "partial 16S ribosomal RNA". It matches the Rfam family "Bacterial small subunit ribosomal RNA", at positions 524 to 776 of the family's 1533-position model. The record is from RNAcentral.
UACGUAGGGUGCGAGCGUUAAUCGGAUUGACUGGGCGUAAAGCGUGCGCAGGCGGCCCGUUAAGACAGGUGUGAAAUCCCUGGGCUCAACCUAGGAAUUGCGCUUGUGACUGGCGGGCUCGAGUACGGUAGAGGGGGGUGGAAUUCCUGGUGUAGCAGUGAAAUGCGUAGAGAUCAGGAGGAACACCGAUGGCGAAGGCAGCCCCCUGGGCCUGUACUGACGCUCAUGCACGAAAGCGUGGGGAGCAAACAGG